AUGAAUGGGAUCCGUGGAGUUCAGGCGAGAGGAGGCGAGAGGCGCAAAGACCUCAAAGUCUUCCCUCCAGCCCCGCUGGUGUUUCCUACCCCAAGUUUCCUGCCCAGGCUCCUCACUGCCCCACUCUGUCGCUUGAAAUUUGGAAGGUCUCUAGCCUGCAGACGUACCUCGGAAAAGGGUGCCCUGGAGCUGCCGUUCUACCAUUCAUCCCCCAUCCUCCCAGCCCCCAAAAGGGGCUAUCUGCCAACCAGAAAUCUCCAGAAAGGAAUAAUAAAGUCCAGAAGGAAACCAAACUGGGAUCUAAUUGUGUCUCAAGUAUUUGGAAGGGGCUUUGCUCUCAGAAUUACUUAAGAAGUCCUUACUCUAUUUCCUCCUGCAUUUGGGGGUGCAUGUCCUCUCAAAAUUUGCUCCAAGUUAACUUUCUUUCUCCCAGCCCUCUUUUUCCGCUCCCACUCCACUGUACUCCACCUCCUUGUGUAGCCAGAAGGGACCACAAGAAUCCAGGCUCAGAGCGGGGAGGGGUCCACUGCUGUGUUUGGAAAACUCCUCUGCCCUUGGCUUAGCUCCAGGCUGAUCCUCUUGCAGGCCCGCAACUGACUGGAUGUCCCUGGGUUCUGUCUUACUCAUUGGGGUGAAGCCGUGCAGGUCCCGCAAGUGACCAGAUCCUCCUCUUAACUUCACAAUGACUCUCUCUCUCUCUCUCUAGUGGCAGUAACAGCUAGAAGAGUUGGAGGGUCUGAGGUACAUUCUUGACUUUUUAAUGUGGGAGAGGAAAAGAUCCAAAAGUGCUGGUCUCUUAAACCUCUAGAAUCCUGGGUGAGUGAGUCGCUGACCCACCAGGCCUAGAGCUACAUAAAGUCCAGUCCAACAGGUCUCUAACCGGGGUCUGGAGAUCUCAGGACAGACUCUUUGUAGCCUUAACUGCUUUCUCUGACGGUCCUGGCUUGAGCCCCAGCAGUGGGUCCAGCUUGGGUAUUUUCUUUUCUUGAUACUGAUAAACAUAGAAAAAUGGCUUCCACCUUCCAUCUUCACCUCCCCACAACCCUCAGCCACCAACUCUCUAGGCAGGC
This 1070-nucleotide long non-coding RNA is filed under the name Bos mutus (wild yak). Its description in RNAcentral is "lncRNA (ENSBMUG00000000868.1)". The record is from RNAcentral. Lineage: Eukaryota; Metazoa; Chordata; Mammalia; Artiodactyla; Bovidae.